UACGGGAUAAUAUAUUUGAGAGGCAUCUCUUAAAUAUCAAAGGUGAGCCAGUACAGGAUGGACCCGCGUCUGAUUAGCUAGUUGGUAAGGUAAUGGCUUACCAAGGCGACGAUCAGUAGCCGACCUGCGAGGGUGAUCGGCCACAUUGGAACUGAGACACGGUCCAAACUCCUACGGGAGGCAGCAGUGGGGAAUAUUGCACAAUGGGCGAAAGCCUGAUG
RNAcentral lists this ribosomal RNA (221 nucleotides) under Clostridioides difficile. RNAcentral describes it as "partial 16S ribosomal RNA". It matches the Rfam family "Bacterial small subunit ribosomal RNA", at positions 167 to 388 of the family's 1533-position model. The record is from RNAcentral. Lineage: Bacteria; Bacillati; Bacillota; Clostridia; Peptostreptococcales; Peptostreptococcaceae.